Molecule: long non-coding RNA, 1616 nt
Filed under: Eucalyptus grandis
Lineage: Eukaryota; Viridiplantae; Streptophyta; Magnoliopsida; Myrtales; Myrtaceae
Description: long non-coding RNA (EGRA_LNC001552)
Source: RNAcentral
UUCGAAAAUUAAUAAAUAAAUACUAAAAAUCCAAUUUAAGCCCAUAAUGCCUGAUUGGAGCCCGAAACGGGUCGGAAAAAAAUCCCGAAAUGCAUUCAAUAAAUAGUAGUACAUCUCUAUUUGCUAAUUGCACAAUUCAAUUGCCUAACAUGCAUCACAAUUAUCUAAUAAUCACUAAUCUACUCUAAUCUAACCACCUAAUUGCACUUAAUUAAAUCUAAUCAACCCUUAAGCAUCAUUAGUCUAUUAAGCAAUGAUUAGUGAGAUUACUCACUUGAUUAAAAGCGGGGACCGGAUCACCGCGAUGGUGGUCGAAACCCGAACUUUCGGCGGCAUCGACGGACACUCGGGCUGGGCCUACAAGCCUCACAAGCCCACUGAAAUUUCUGGGCUUAGACUGAACUUGGGCCUAAGCUUGGGUUGACUUGCUUCGCGGGCUUGGGCUGCUGAACUUUUGGGCUAAACUUCAAGUGAGCUGGGAUUGGGCCUUAAACACUGGGCUUGCUGGACUUCAAUGGAGCUGCUGAAAUGGGCUGAUUUCUUAUGGGCCGAGCUGUAGAUAGGCUCAAAGGAGCUGCUGGGUCAGAAGAUGUUGGGCUAAAGACGUGCGAACAUGCUGGACCGAAUUCGCUGGAGGUGCUGCUUCGCUUAGGGGAGCUCACGCGGACGAGUGGCUACUGCUUCGUGGAGAUGAGCCCACGUGAGGAGUCAACAAUUGAAGGUUGGCGUUGGAGAAGUUGCUGUGGUGUUUACCAAGGGCGAUGAUGCUGGCAGCUGCUUCGCAGGAGGAUCGGCGGUAUCGGCUGUAGGGGAAAAACUGUGGAGAUGGGAGUUGGGAGCUUCUGCGGAGACGUGUGGACGUGGAGAGAUGAGCAGUCAGCUGCGACUCGUUUCAAUUGCUUCGCUGGGUGACACAUGGGCAGCAGCUUUGGUCAAUCGCUUGGGCUUCACUGGCUGGAGAUUGACCGAAGAAACAAGAGAUGUUGGAGCAGAACCGAUGGAAGUUGCUAGAUCCGCGUGGGGCUUUGCUGGCUUCAAUUGGCACGGCAAAGAGGAGAAGCAGCUUCGCUUGGUGGUCUUCAACUCGGCUUUGUUGACCGAACAAAGAGCAGACGCUGCCAAGUGGCAGUAAGGCAAGGCUGCUCGGUCAACCAAAGGCUUCACUUGUUACUGUUGUUGACUGAAGGAGCCGAGCUUGGAUGUGUGGAGAAGCUGAGUGGGUCGGUGGGCGUGCUGACGUGAGGAAUUCGGACAAAGCAGGGGAGAGGGUGUCGUGGACGAUGGUAACACAGGCCACGGAGCUACUGGAAUUGAAGCAAUUUAGUGGCAGAGGACUUGUAGGUGAGACGGUUUUGCUGGCUUCAUGGAUUGCAAACAAAGAAAGAGUUGGGACGACUUCAGCGAGGUAAAAUGAAAGAAAAGCAGGGUAGACCGUGGGACUUUGGGGCGUGCGGAUGAGCUGUUGUCGUCCACGCACAAGGGAGACCGGCGGGGAUAAGGAUAAAGAAAAAUCAAGAAGAUGAUCCAAAUUCCAUAAAUGCUUGCUCCCACAAGUCUUCAAUAAUAUCUUGUAUGUCCCCUAAUACUUUCUUGCUCAAUAAUACCAUAAAAUAAAC